This 305-nucleotide ribosomal RNA is filed under the name uncultured bacterium. RNAcentral's name for it is "bacterial SSU rRNA". It matches the Rfam family "Bacterial small subunit ribosomal RNA", at positions 338 to 640 of the family's 1533-position model. The record is from RNAcentral.
CCUACGGGGGGCAGCAGUGAGGAAUAUUGGUCAAUGGGCGAGAGCCUGAACCAGCCAAGUCGCGUGAAGGAUGACGGCCCUACGGGUUGUAAACUUCUUUUGUCAGGGAGCAAUUGGGUCCACGCGUGGGCUUAGCGAGAGUACCUGAAGAAAAAGCAUCGGCUAACUCCGUGCCAGCAGCCGCGGUAAUACGGAGGAUGCGAGCGUUAUCCGGAUUUAUUGGGUUUAAAGGGUGCGUAGGCGGAAUAUCAAGUCAGCGGUAAAAAUUCGGGGCUCAACCCCGUCGUGCCGUUGAAACUGAUGUU